Molecule: transfer RNA, 75 nt
Filed under: Mitsuokella jalaludinii
Lineage: Bacteria; Bacillati; Bacillota; Negativicutes; Selenomonadales; Selenomonadaceae
Also listed under: 3 other names
Description: tRNA-Gly
Rfam family: tRNA
About the family: Transfer RNA (tRNA) molecules are approximately 80 nucleotides in length. Their secondary structure includes four short double-helical elements and three loops (D, anti-codon, and T loops).
Source: RNAcentral
GCGGAAAUAGCUCAGUGGUAGAGCACCACCUUGCCAAGGUGGGGGUCGCGAGUUCGAGUCUCGUUUUCCGCUCCA